AUGAGCCCAUCAGCUCCUACCCAGUGCAUUCCCCAAACUGCAUUCUACUUGCCAGCCUUAGUUCCAUUGCUUUAUUACAAUUAUUUUGCUGGUGCCCCUCAAACUGCAUUCUACUUGCAAGUGCAAAACCUAGUCCUCUUGCUUAGACCUUCAUAUGGAGCCUUCUCCGUACUUGUCGUUUGCCGUCCCAUAUCUUUCUUUUUCGCUGGAGCCAGCAGUCCUUCCAACCUGUUGCUUGUCCUCGAAACCGAAUCAUUGUCAGAUAAAACAACAGUAGCUGCUUUGACGUUCAUGUUUUGUUCCGCCGAAACCAGCUCCAUGGGGGUCUGA
Molecule: ribosomal RNA, 330 nt
Filed under: Triticum aestivum (bread wheat)
Lineage: Eukaryota; Viridiplantae; Streptophyta; Magnoliopsida; Poales; Poaceae
Description: partial small subunit ribosomal RNA
Source: RNAcentral